This 481-nucleotide ribosomal RNA is filed under the name uncultured bacterium. RNAcentral describes it as "partial 16S ribosomal RNA". It matches the Rfam family "Bacterial small subunit ribosomal RNA", at positions 28 to 507 of the family's 1533-position model. The record is from RNAcentral.
GAUGAACGCUGGCGGCGUGCUUAACACAUGCAAGUCGAACGAAGCAUUUGCGACAGAUUUUUUCGGAAUGAAGUUGCUUAUGACUGAGUGGCGGACGGGUGAGUAACGCGUGGGUAACCUGCCUUGUACUGGGGGAUAGCAGCUGGAAACGGCUGGUAAUACCGCAUAAGCGCACAAUGUUGCAUGACAUGGUGUGAAAAACUCCGGUGGUAUAAGAUGGACCCGCGUCUGAUUAGCUAGUUGGUGAGAUAACAGCCCACCAAGGCGACGAUCAGUAGCCGACCUGAGAGGGUGACCGGCAACAUUGGGACUGAGACACGGCCCAGACUCCUACGGGAGGCAGCAGUGGGGAAUAUUGCACAAUGGAGGAAACUCUGAUGCAGCGACGCCGCGUGAGUGAAGAAGUAAUUCGUUAUGUAAAGCUCUAUCAGCAGGGAAGAUAGUGACGGUACCUGACUAAGAAGCGCCGGCUAAAUACGUG